UUUAAUCAAAUUUGUAUGGAGUUGGAACGUCUGCCUACGUUUUCCGCUAGAGGCGCUGUUUCAACUGCAUACAAAUUUGAGUUA
Molecule: non-coding RNA, 84 nt
Organism: Bombyx mori (domestic silkworm)
Lineage: Eukaryota; Metazoa; Arthropoda; Insecta; Lepidoptera; Bombycidae
Source: Rfam